ACGGGAGGUAGCAGUGGGGGAUAUUGCACAAUGGGGGAAACCCUGAUGCAGCGACGCCGCGUGAGUGAUGAAGUAUUUCGGUAUGUAAAGCUCUAUCAGCAGGGAAGAAAAUGACGGUACCUAACUAAGAAGCACCGGCUAAAUACGUGCCAGCAGCCGCGGUAAUACGUAUGGUGCAAGCGUUAUCCGGAUUUACUGGGUGUAAAGGGAGUGUAGGUGGUUUGGCAAGCCAGAAGUGAAAACCCGGGGCUCAACCCCGUGGAUUGCUUUUGGAACUGUUAGACUAGAGUGCAGGAGGGGUAAGCGGAAUUCCCAGUGUAGCGGUGAGAUGCGUAGAUAUUGGGAAGAACACCAGUGGCGAAGGCGACUUACUGGACUGUAACUGACACUGAGGCUCGAAAGCGUGGGGAGCAAACAGGAUUAGAUACCCUGGUA
This 435-nucleotide ribosomal RNA is filed under the name uncultured Lachnospiraceae bacterium. RNAcentral's name for it is "partial 16S ribosomal RNA". It matches the Rfam family "Bacterial small subunit ribosomal RNA", at positions 341 to 792 of the family's 1533-position model. The record is from RNAcentral. Lineage: Bacteria; Bacillati; Bacillota; Clostridia; Lachnospirales; Lachnospiraceae.